Molecule: long non-coding RNA, 149 nt
Organism: Bufo bufo (common toad)
Lineage: Eukaryota; Metazoa; Chordata; Amphibia; Anura; Bufonidae
Exons: 3
Source: RefSeq, a predicted model, not a curated record
AGCGACUUAAAAAGAUAUAAAUUAAAUAAUCGCCAGGAUCGGACGGCAUACACCCCCCUAUCCUAAGAGAAUUAAGUAAUGUCAUAGCCAGACCCUUAUUUCUGAUAUUUAAGGACUCUAUACUGACAGGGAGUGUUCCACAGGAUUGG